ACUCAAAUGAAUUGACGGGGGCCCGCACAAGCGGUGGAGCAUGUGGUUUAAUUCGACGCAACGCGAAGAACCUUACCUGGGCUUGAACCACUGGUGGUAAGUCUCUGGAAACAGAGACUGACCCGUAAGGGAGCCAGUAGAGGUGCUGCAUGGUUGUCGUCAGCUCGUGUCGUGAGAUGUUGGGUUAAGUCCCGCAACGAGCGCAACCCCUAUCUCAUGUUGCAACCUGCGCAAGCAGGGCACUCUUGAGAAACUGCCUUCGAUAAGAAGGAGGAAGGUGGGGACGACGUCAAAUCCUCAUGGCCCUUAUGUCCAGGGCUACACACGUGCUACAAUGGCCGGUACAACGGGAAGCAAUGCCGCAAGGUGGAGCUAAACCCUAAAAACCGGCCCCAGUUCAGAUUGUGGGCUGCAACUCGCCCACAUGAAGUCGGAAUCGCUAGUAAUCGCGAAUCAGCAGGUCGCGGUGAAUACGUUCCCGGGCCUUGUACACACCGCCCGU
Molecule: ribosomal RNA, 502 nt
Filed under: uncultured bacterium
Lineage: Bacteria
Description: partial 16S ribosomal RNA
Rfam family: Bacterial small subunit ribosomal RNA
Source: RNAcentral